UGAUGACGUCAUGAACAGGAGCUGCGCGUGUUGAACCGGCUUCUGUUAAGUAAUGACGUCCUCACAGGGAGCUGAAUGAAGCAAUAAUGAAUUUUGUUGACGAGGCUAGCAGGUAGUCGUUGAUAAAUAGCGCGCACACCUGUAACUUUUUAGACGCCAAAGGUUAGUUGAACGAAGCUGCACAAGCACACAUGUGAGCAUGAAACUUACCUCAACAAUUUGCUAGGAUAAAUCAUUCCAUAACUGAAGAA
Molecule: long non-coding RNA, 251 nt
Organism: Anopheles merus
Lineage: Eukaryota; Metazoa; Arthropoda; Insecta; Diptera; Culicidae
Exons: 3
Source: RefSeq, a predicted model, not a curated record